CGGGGAUAAGAGAUUAGGCUUGGCCCGCUAAGCCUAAGCCUCCGCAGUUAAAUUCUGUGGUAUCUCCGA
RNAcentral lists this transfer RNA (69 nucleotides) under Amphioplus laevis. Its description in RNAcentral is "tRNA-Ser". Lineage: Eukaryota; Metazoa; Echinodermata; Ophiuroidea; Amphilepidida; Amphiuridae. The record is from RNAcentral.